CGGGAAACUGGGGAUAAUACCCCAUAGACUAUGGAUGCUGGAAUGCUCUGUAGUCGAAAGGUCCGCCGCCAUAGGAUGGGUCUGCGGCCGAUUAGGUUGUUGUUGGGGUAACGGCCCAACAAGCCUGUAAUCGGUACGGGUUGUGGGAGCAAGAGCCCGGAGAUGGAUUCUGAGACACGAAUCCAGGCCCUACGGGGCGCAGCAGGCGCGAAAACUUUACAAUGCGGGAAACCGUGAUAAGGGAACUCUGAGUGCCCGUAAAAUCGGGCUGUCCAUUGGUUUAAAUAACCAGUGAAGAAAGGGCCGGGCAAGACCGGUGCCAGCCGCCGCGGUAAUA
This 337-nucleotide ribosomal RNA is filed under the name uncultured archaeon. RNAcentral describes it as "partial 16S ribosomal RNA". It matches the Rfam family "Archaeal small subunit ribosomal RNA", at positions 133 to 475 of the family's 1478-position model. The record is from RNAcentral.